RNAcentral lists this ribosomal RNA (2873 nucleotides) under Candidatus Karelsulcia muelleri. RNAcentral's name for it is "23S ribosomal RNA". It matches the Rfam family "Bacterial large subunit ribosomal RNA". Lineage: Bacteria; Pseudomonadati; Bacteroidota; Flavobacteriia; Flavobacteriales. The record is from RNAcentral.
AAGGGCGUUUGGUGGAUGCCUAGGCUCUGAGAGAGGAUGAAGGACGUGAAUAGCAACGAAAAGUUACGGUGAUUUGCUAAAAAGAAAUAGAUCCGUAAAUGUCCUAAUGGGGUAACCUGCUAAUAUUUAACAUUAGCAUCUUUUAAAAGAGCAUAAACCUGGGGAACUGAAACAUCUUAGUACCUGGAGGAAAAGAAAACAAUAGUGAUUCCGAAAGUAGUGGUGAGCGAAAUUGGAAAAGCCUAAACCAUUUACAUAUAUGUGAAUGGGGUUGUAGGACUAAAAUCUGGUAGACUAUUCUAUAGUAGAAUAAUUUGGAAAAAUUAACCCAAGAAGGUGAAAGUCCUGUCUACGAAAUAGGAAUAGAUAUCUAUUAGUAUCCUAAGUAAGAUGGAACACGUGAAAUUCUGUCUGAAUCAGCCAGGACCAUCUGGCAAGGCUAAAUACUUCUCAGAGACCGAUAGUGAACAAGUACCGUGAGGGAAAGGUGAAAAGAACUUCUAAAAGAAGAGUGAAAUAGAUCCUGAAACCAUUCGCCUACAAGCAGACGGAGCUUUUUAUUAAAAAGUAACGUCGUGCCUUUUGCAUAAUGAACCUACGAGUUAAUUGUACUGGCAAGGUUAAAUAAUGUUAAUUAUGAAGCCGUAGCGAAAGCAAGUAUUAAAUGUGCGUAUAGUCAGUAUUAUUAGACGCGAAACCGGGUGAUCUACUUAUGGGCAGGUUGAAGCUAUGGUAAAACAUAGUGGAGGACCGAACUGGUAAACGUUGAAAAGUUUUCGGAUGACCUGUGAGUAGGAGUGAAAGGCUAAUCAAACUCGGAGAUAGCUCGUACUCCCCGAAAUGCAUUUAAGUGCAGCAUUGUGUAAAGUAAAGUAUUACAGAGGUAGAGCUACUGAUUAGAUGAGGGGACUAUAUAGUCUACUAAUUCUAGACAAACUCCGAAUGCUGUAAUAUAUUUCACAGUAGUGAGGGCCUGGGUGCUAAGAUCAAGGUCCGAGAGGGAAACAACCCAGACCAACAGCUAAGGCCCCAAAGUAUAUACUAAGUUGAAGAAACGUAGUUCAGUAACGUAGAUAUCUAGGAUGUUAGCUUGGAAGCAGCUAUUCAUUUAAAGAGUGCGUAACAGCUCACUAGUUUAGUAACUGAGCAUGGAUAAUAAUCGGGCAUAAGUAUAUCGCCGAAGCUAUGGGAUCUCAAGAUCGGUAGGGGAGCAUUGUAAUUGCAGUGAAGCUCGAUUGUAAAAGAGGGUGGAGUAAUUACAAAAGAAAAUGUAGGUAUGAGUAACGAUAAUGCAGGCGAGAAACCUGCACACCGAAAAACUAAGGUUUCCUCAGCAAUGUUAAUCAACUGAGGGUUAAUCGGACCUAAGGCAAAACCGAAAGGUGUAGUCGAUGGAAAAUCGUUUAAUAUUACGAUGUAGUUUCCUAUUUUUUCAAAGGAGUGAAAAAGCAGUGAAACUGUCACGUGUAAACGGAAAUACACGUUAAAUUAUUUAGGCAUUAUAUAUAUAGGAAAAUCCGUAUAUAUUGCUGAAAUAAAAUAGUACCACCAAGUGGAUAGAACAGAUAAAAGCUUUCAAGAAAAACUUCUAGAAAUUAAAUAGGAGAUUUCCGUACCAAAACCAACACAGGUAGUUAGGGAGAAUAUCCUAAGGUGCUCGAGUGAUUCACGGCUAAGGAACUAGGCAAAAUUGACCUGUAACUUCGGGAGAAAGGUUGCCUUCUUUUUUUGAAGGUCGCAGUGAAAAGGUCCAGGCGACUGUUUACCAAAAACACAGGGCUCUGCAAAAUUGCAAAAUGAAGUAUAGGGUCUGACACCUGCCCGGUGCUGGAAGGUUAAAGAAGAAGGUUAGCAAUAAUUAAUUAUUGCAAAGCUUUCAACCGAAGCCCCAGUAAACGGCGGCCGUAACUAUAACGGUCCUAAGGUAGCGAAAUUCCUUGUCGGGUAAGUUCCGACCUGCACGAAUGGUGUAACGAUCUGGACACUGUCUCUGCCGUGAGCUCGGUGAAAUUGAAGUAUCGGUGAAGAUGCCGAUUACUCGCAAUGGGACGAAAAGACCCUGUGAACCUUUACUACAACUUCGUAUUGAUUUUGAGUAAAUAAUGUGUAGGAUAGGUGGGAGACUUUGAAGCCUUCUCGCUAGAGAAUGUGGAGUCGACCUUGAAAUACCACCCUUUAUUUAAUUGAAAUCUAACUCUUUUAAAAAAAGAAGAGAACACUGCGUGGCGGGUAGUUUGACUGGGGUGGUCGCCUCCUAAAAGGUAACGGAGGCUUCCAAAGGUACCCUCAACACGUUUGGUAAUCGUGAGUAGAGUGCAAUGGCAUAAGGGUGCUUGACUGUGAGACUGACCAGUCGAUCAGAUACGAAAGUAGGGCAUAGUGAUCCGGUGGUGCUGUAUGGAAAGGCCAUCGCUCAAAGGAUAAAAGGUACUCCAGGGAUAACAGGCUAGUCUUCCCCAAGAGCUCACAUCGACGGGAAGGUUCGGCACCUCGAUGUCGGCUCGUCACAUCCUGGGGCUGAAGAAGGUCCCAAGGGUUGGGCUGUUCGCCCAUUAAAGUGGCACGCGAGCUGGGUUCAGAACGUCGUGAGACAGUUCGGUCUCUAUCUAUUGCGAGCGUUAGAAGCUUGAAUGGAUCUAACUCUAGUACGAGAGGACCGAGUUGGACGAACCUAUGGUAUAUCAGUUGUAUCGCCAGGUGCAAAGCUGAGUAGCUAAGUUCGUUUAAGAUAAGCACUGAAAGCAUAUAAGUGCGAAACUAACCAUAAGAUUAGGCUUCUGUUAAGGGUCGUUGAAGAUUACAACGUUGAUAGGCUAUAAGUGUAAAGAUAGUAAUAUCAAAGCUGAGUAGUACUAAUUACCCAUAAGCUUAGA